This 1062-nucleotide long non-coding RNA is filed under the name Papio anubis (olive baboon). RNAcentral's name for it is "lncRNA (ENSPANG00000038298.1)". Lineage: Eukaryota; Metazoa; Chordata; Mammalia; Primates; Cercopithecidae. The record is from RNAcentral.
AAAAAAGCUUUUUUUAACUACUGGGCUUGUUAUAGUCAAGUUUCAAUUGGUAUUAAAGGGGCAGCUGCUGUCAGUCUCUGACCUGUGAAAUGGGGCGAGCAGUGUGACUCUCACAAGCAGUUAACCCAGCAAACCAAGGUGAAGCAGCUGGUGCCAAGCGCCGGCCCAUUAGACAUGCUCAGGCUAUGGUAGCUCAGCCUCUGACCUCAGGUUCUUAGGCCAGGCACCCUGGCAAACUGAGGUCCCUGGAGAUUAGAACAGGAAAUCCAGGUGUUGAAGAUGCUUUACCUGUAGAGUGUGGAAGAGGCAGCAAACAGUAGCUGAGUAGUGAGUAGUAACUGGGCUCUAUUUCAUGUCAGCAACUCCUCUAACCACCUCCUCCCUCUUUCCCCAGCCCCCAUGCUUCCUCAAUUCAUCCCUCCUCUCCCAGCCCUGCAGAAGAGAGAAUAUCAUGUCCAUUCUGCAGAUGAAAAUACUGAGGCAGGGAAAGUUAGGCGUAGGUGGCUUGGCCAAUGUGUAUGUUAAAAACUUGUGGAUGUGGUUUCAUGUUAGGGGCCACAGUGGGACAUUUCCAGCUUGUUCUAGGGUCUGGGUGGGGUGCCAGAUUAUCAGUGAUCCCCCAAGAGAGAUGAAUCACAGGAUCAAAGAGAAGUGUCAACAUCUGAUUCUUUCUGCUGAGUUUUGUCUGCAAAGACCAAUGUACUCUGAGUCUAAGGCUGGUCUGAUAAUGUCAAAAUGGCAACGUGAAAUGUGGAAAAUGAAGUCAAACCAGUUAUUUGCUUACACAAGGUUUUUUUUUAAUGUGAGCUUAACCUAUUGUUUCUUUUUUAAUUUAGUCUUAUCUAUUUAUACAUGUAGACACAUGGCAUUAGAGGGUGGUAGCCAUGCCUUAAAAAUAGCACUGCACCCGGAAGAGAAAUGUCUUCUUAUGGGGUCUCAUGGCUUUCCUGAAUACAGAAAAAUUCUGGACAAUUCUCUGGCUCUCAAAAGACUGAAAGUACUUGGUUUAGAGAUUUUUUUAUUGGAAUCCUUUUUAAGCCCAGGCAGUUUGGUGGUGUACGG